AGAUCCCAGCAUGCUGACUGAUGUCCAGCUGUUGUCUCUCGUCUCGAGCAAAACAAGCUUGUGAACUCAAACCACUCAAUCUCUCGGGUUUGGGCGUCAUGGUGAUCCCGUACACUGGGGUGUAAUCUGGUUCCCCGGCAUCAUCGGGCCACACAAACUGGAAGCGGCGUAACAGAGUGACCAUGACCAGGAAGAGCUCCAUACGUGCAAGACCCUCACCAAGACACACACGGGGACCUGUACACCAUAUAUUUGCAUAUAUACGAAUUACUACUACACUGUAAAAAA
Molecule: non-coding RNA, 288 nt
Organism: Pimephales promelas (fathead minnow)
Lineage: Eukaryota; Metazoa; Chordata; Actinopteri; Cypriniformes; Leuciscidae
Source: RefSeq, a predicted model, not a curated record